Long non-coding RNA from Cornus florida, 417 nucleotides. RefSeq lists it as uncharacterized. The transcript is spliced from 3 exons. NCBI's taxonomy places the organism in Eukaryota, Viridiplantae, Streptophyta, Magnoliopsida, Cornales, Cornaceae. The record is from RefSeq and is a predicted model, not a curated record.
ACACUUAACUACAUUAUUUCAUUCUCUUCCUUACAAGAAAACCCUAGCCUCCAUGGAUGGAGCUUGAAGCCUUAGGCAUUGACCUUGAUCUUUGAGGCCCUUCCACUUACUUUAGACCAUAAAACUUCAAAUACUUUUUGUUCCCCUCAUCCUCCUCUUCAAAACCCUUGAAGGAUCUAGCCUAACUCCUAAUUUUGCUUUGGUAUCUAGAGAUUCAAUUCUCUAGUGAGUUGAAGGUAGCAAGCUGAAAAAUCUGUUUUGCGGACUGAAAAUUUGGGGCGAUUUCAUUUCGGUGGUAAUUGGGAUUUUCAUUCCAAUUGAGGUACAUGACUCAGGAUUUGAAGAUUCCAUUGCUCCUUGGAUGGCUUACAGUUUCUAAGUUUCUAUUUUUUGCAAGUGUUAGCAUAAGAUGCCUCU